GAAAGGGAGGAAAGCUAAUUUUUUUUUUAAUCCAGGAAUGAGGCUACACUCAUUUUAUCUUGAUGCCAAUCCACUAAAUUAAGUGCUAUUAGUCCCCUUUUAUAGUUGAGAGUGCCAGUGCAUAGAGAAUCUAAGUAAAUUGUCCAAGGUCACCCUUUUGCUGAGUGUUAAAAAAAUUAGUGAGGCCAUGCGUGGUGGUCCACACCUGUAAUCUCAGCACUUUGGGGGUCUGUGGAAGGCAGA
This 243-nucleotide long non-coding RNA is filed under the name Homo sapiens (human). Its description in RNAcentral is "HSALNT0077574". The record is from RNAcentral. Lineage: Eukaryota; Metazoa; Chordata; Mammalia; Primates; Hominidae.